AGUAAGGUCAGCUAAAUAAGCUCUCGGGCCCAUACCCCGAGUAUGUCGGUUAAAAUCCUUCCCCUAUUA
Non-coding RNA from Alosa alosa (allis shad), 69 nucleotides. The record is from the annotation of a RefSeq genome assembly. NCBI's taxonomy places the organism in Eukaryota, Metazoa, Chordata, Actinopteri, Clupeiformes, Clupeidae.